Molecule: ribosomal RNA, 405 nt
Filed under: uncultured bacterium
Lineage: Bacteria
Description: bacterial SSU rRNA
Rfam family: Bacterial small subunit ribosomal RNA
Source: RNAcentral
AACGAACGCUGGCGGCGUGCCUAACACAUGCAAGUCGUGCGAGAAAGUUCCUUCGGGAGCGAGUAAAGCGGCGCACGGGUGAGUAACACGUAGGUAACCUGCCCCCCAGUCUGGAACAACUAGAGGAAACUCUAGCUAAUGCCGGAUGAGACCACGAUCCCUUCGGGGGUUGCGGCCAAAGAUGGCCUCUACUUGUAAGCUAUCGCUGAGGGAUGGGCCUGCGGGCCAUUAGCUUGUUGGUGAGGUAACGGCUCACCAAGGCUGUGAUGGCUAGCUGGUCUGAGAGGAUGACCAGCCACACUGGGACUGAGACACGGCCCAGGACUCCUACGGAGGCAGCAGUGGGGAAUAUUGCGCAAUGGGCGAAAGCCUGACGCAGCGACGCCGCGUGGGUGAUGAAGGCCU